RNAcentral lists this ribosomal RNA (497 nucleotides) under uncultured bacterium. RNAcentral describes it as "partial 16S ribosomal RNA". It matches the Rfam family "Bacterial small subunit ribosomal RNA", at positions 28 to 507 of the family's 1533-position model. The record is from RNAcentral.
GAUGAACGCUGGCGGCGUGCCUAAUACAUGCAAGUCGAGCGAACAGACGAGGAGCUUGCUCCUCUGACGUUAGCGGCGAACGGGUGAGUAACACGUGGAUAACCUACCUAUAAGACUGGGAUAACUUCGGGAAACCGGAGCUAAUACCGGAUAAUAUAUUGAACCGCAUGGUUCAAUAGUGAAAGACGGUUUUGCUGUCACUUAUAGAUGGAUCCGCGCCGCAUUAGCUAGUUGGUAAGGUAACGGCUUACCAAGGCGACGAUGCGUAGCCGACCUGAGAGGGUGAUCGGCCACCCUGGAACUGAGACACGGUCCAGACUCCUACGGGAGGCAGCAGUAGGGAAUCUUCCGCAAUGGGCGAAAGCCUGACGGAGCAACGCCGCGUGAGUGAUGAAGGUCUUCGGAUCGUAAAACUCUGUUAUUAGGGAAGAACAAAUGUGUAAGUAACUAUGCACGUCUUGACGGUACCUAAUCAGAAAGCCACGGCUAACUACGUG